This is a long non-coding RNA of Pygocentrus nattereri (red-bellied piranha), 281 nucleotides long. RefSeq lists it as uncharacterized. The record is from RefSeq and is a predicted model, not a curated record. NCBI's taxonomy places the organism in Eukaryota, Metazoa, Chordata, Actinopteri, Characiformes, Serrasalmidae. The transcript is spliced from 3 exons.
GCCUGCAGAGAAGAUGGAGAUGAGCUGUGUGUGUUUGGUGCUGGUCCUGCUGAUGACCGUAUCAUUGGAUUCUUGCACCUUUAGCCCUUGCCCUGAUCAGUGCUGUUUCGACUUUAAAUAUCUUCAAAUUACAGAAGAAUACAUCAUAAAAAUUUUAAAAACACAUCCUCUCUAGCGAGAGCCCGGCUACAUUUACAACAUCUGAAGGCAAAUUCUGCAUGGAGGAAGAUGUCCUGGCAUCUCUUACACAGCAACAGAGCACUGAGCCACCUGGGUUUUUC